GCUGAGGCCCCAGGAUGGGACCGCGGCCUGUCAGGUAGUAGGUGGGGUAACGGCCCACCUAGCCUACGACGGGUACGGGCCCUGAGAGGGGGAGCCCGGAGAUGGGCACUGAGACAAGGGUCUAGGCCCUAAGGGGCGCAGCAGGCGCGAAGAUUCCGCAAUGCCCGAAAGGGCGACGGAGUGAACCCGAGUGCCACCCGCUGAGGGUGGCUGUUCCCCUGUGUAAAAAGCAGGGGGCAGGAAGGGGAGGGCAAGGCUGGUGGCAGCCGCCGCGGUAAAACCAGCUCCCCGAGGGGUUCCCACGCAUACUGGGCCUAAAGCGUCCGUAGCCGGCCCUGUAAGUCUGCAGUUAAAUCCGCCUGUAGACAGGCGGGUUGCUGCAGAUACUGCAGGGCUAGGGAGCGGGGGGAGCCGGGGGUAUUCCCGGGGGAGCGGUAAAAUGCGUAGAUCCCGGGAGGACCACCGGUGGCGAAGGCGCCCGGCUUGAACGCGUCCGACGGUGAGGGACGAAAGCUGGGGGAGCAAACCGGAUUAGAUACCCGGGUAGUCCCAGCCGUAAACGAUGCCGGCUAGGUGCUGGCCAAGGUUUCGGCCUUGGCCAGUGUCGAAGCGAAGGCAUUAAGCCGGCCGCCUGAGGAGUACGGCCGCAAGGCUGAAACUUGAAGGAAUUGACGGGGGGGCACCACAAGGGGUGAAUGCCUGCGGCUUAAUUGGACUCAACGCCGGGAAUCUUACCGGGGGCGACAGCAGGAUGAAGGUCAGGCUGAAGACCUUACCAGACGCGCUGAGGGGUGGUGCAUGGCCGUCGCCAGCUCGUGCCGUGAGGUGUCCUGUUAAGUCAGGCAACGAGCGAGACCCCCGCCCCUAGUUGCCAGCGGCCUCCUUCGGGAGGGACCGGGCAAACUAGGGGGACCGCCUCCGAAGAGGAGGAGGAAGGUGGGGGCUACGGCAGGUCAGUAUGCCCCUAAUCCCCCGGGCCGCACGCGGGCUGCAAUGGGCGGGACAGCGGGAUG
This 1013-nucleotide ribosomal RNA is filed under the name uncultured korarchaeote. Its description in RNAcentral is "bacterial SSU rRNA". It matches the Rfam family "Archaeal small subunit ribosomal RNA", at positions 195 to 1205 of the family's 1478-position model. The record is from RNAcentral. Lineage: Archaea; Thermoproteati; Thermoproteota.